CCCUUGUGUCCUAUGUAAAGUCAUUAUUAUUAUUAUUAUUAUUAUUAAUAUUAAUAAUAAUAAUGACUUUACAUAGGACACAAGGGCAUGCCUU
RNAcentral lists this microRNA precursor (94 nucleotides) under Pelobates cultripes (western spadefoot toad). The record is from RNAcentral. Lineage: Eukaryota; Metazoa; Chordata; Amphibia; Anura; Pelobatidae.